GACGAACGCUGGCGGCGUGCUUAACACAUGCAAGUCGAACGGACAGGCCCUGCUUUUGUGGGGUUCUCGAGUGGCGAACGGGUGAGUAACACGUGAGUAACCUGCCCUUGACUUUGGGAUAACUUCAGGAAACUGGGGCUAAUACCGGAUAGGAGCUCCUGCUGCAUGGUGGGGGUUGGAAAGUUUCGGCGGUUGGGGAUGGACUGGCGGCUUAUCAGCUUGUUGGUGGGGUAGUGGCUUACCAAGGCUUUGACGGGUAGCCGGCCUGAGAGGGUGACCGGGCACAAUGGGACUGAGAUACGGCCCAGACUCCUACGGGAGGCAGCAGUGGGGAAUAUUGCACAAUGGGCGGAAGCCUGAUGCAGCAACGCCGCGUGCGGGAUGACGGCCUUCGGGGUGUAAACCGCUUUCGCCUGUGACGAAGCGUGAGUGACGGUAAUGGGUAAAGAAGCACCGGCUAACUACGUG
Molecule: ribosomal RNA, 468 nt
Filed under: uncultured bacterium
Lineage: Bacteria
Description: partial 16S ribosomal RNA
Rfam family: Bacterial small subunit ribosomal RNA
Source: RNAcentral